Molecule: ribosomal RNA, 788 nt
Filed under: uncultured bacterium
Lineage: Bacteria
Description: bacterial SSU rRNA
Rfam family: Bacterial small subunit ribosomal RNA
Source: RNAcentral
AGAGUUUGAUCAUGGCUCAGGACGAACGCUGGCGGCGUGCCUAACACAUGCAAGUCUGGGAGAAUUGGGUAGCAAUAUCCAUAGUAAACCGGCGCACGGGUGAGUAAUAUAUAGGUAAUUUCCCUUUUGUUUUGGAAUAACUCCGCGAAAGCGGGGCUAAUACCGAAUGAUGCAGCGGAUCCGCAUGGAUAUGUUGUUAAAGCUUCGGCGACAAGAGAUAAGCCUGUAUCCCAUUAGAUAGUUGGCGAGGUAACGGCUCACCAAGUCUACGAUGGGUAGCUGAUCUGAGAGGAUGAUCAGCCACACUGGAACUGAGACACGGUCCAGACUCCUACGGGAGGCGGCAGUGAGGAAUAUUGCGCAAUGGAGGAAACUCUGACGCAGCGACGCCGCGUGAAGGAUGAAGGCCCUCUGGGUCGUAAACUUCUGUAGAGAGGGAAGAAUGUGCCAUUCGUUGGCAUUGACGGUACCUCUAAAGUAAGGGUCGGCUAACUACGUGCCAGCAGCCGCGGUAAUACGUAGGACCCGAGCGUUGUCCGGAAUCACUGGGUGUAAAGGGAGCGCAGGCUGACUUUCAAGUCGAUGGUGAAAUCUUGCGGCUUAACCGCAAAACUGCCGUCGAUACUGUCUGUCUUGAGUGUGGAAGAGGGUGGCAGAAUUCAUGGUGUAGCGGUGAAAUGCGUAGAUAUCAUGAAGAAUACCGGUUGCGAAGGCGGCCACCUGGUCCAUUACUGACGCUCAUGCUCGAAAGCGUGGGGAGCAAACAGGAUUAGAUACCCUAGUAGUCC